GACGAACGCUGGCGGCGUGCCUAAUACAUGCGAGUAGAACGCUGAAGGAGGAGCUUGCUUCUCUGGAUGAGUUGCGAACGGGUGAGUAACGCGUAGGUAACCUGCCUGGUAGCGGGGGAUAACUAUUGGAAACGAUAGCUAAUACCGCAUAAGAGUAGAUGUCGCAUGACAUUUGCUUAAAAGGUGCAAUUGCAUCACUACCAGAUGGACCUGCGUUGUAUUAGCUAGUUGGUGAGGUAACGGCUCACCAAGGCAACGAUACAUAGCCGACCUGAGAGGGUGAUCGGCCACACUGGGACUGAGACACGGCCCAGACUCCUACGGGAGGCAGCAGUAGGGAAUCUUCGGCAAUGGACGGAAGUCUGACCGAGCAACGCCGCGUGAGUGAAGAAGGGUUUCGGAUCGUAAAGCUCUGUUGUAAGAGAAGAACGAGUGUGAGAGUGGAAAGUUCACACUGUGACGGUAUCUUACCAGAAAGGGACGGCUAACUACGUG
Molecule: ribosomal RNA, 495 nt
Filed under: uncultured bacterium
Lineage: Bacteria
Description: partial 16S ribosomal RNA
Rfam family: Bacterial small subunit ribosomal RNA
Source: RNAcentral